CUAACGAAGUUUUGUUUACUUCCAGAUCACAAAGACUUUCUCCUAUUUUUUUUUCUAGAAGUUUUAUGUUUGUCUAUUAUAUUUAAGUCCAUGAUCCAUUUUGGACUUAAUUCUUAUAUAAGGUGUAAGAUUUACAUUGAGGUUAUUUUUUUUCCUAUGGAGGUGCAAUAUAUGCAGCCCCAUUAGCUGAAAAGAUUAUUUAUCCUAUUAAAUUACCUUAGCAAUUUUGGUCAAUACCACACUGUUUUGGUAAACUAUAACUUUAUAGUAAGACUAAGAUAUGUAGUACAAUUCUUUCAACUUUCUUCAUUUGCAAGAAUGAUGCUUAUUCUAUGUCUUUCCAUUCCCAUAUGAACUUUUAGAUUCAGAUUGUUAAUUUCUACCAAAUUUCAAAAUUUUAAUUUGUAUUUUAUUAAAUCUAUAGAUCAAUGUAUGAAUAAUUUAUCUUAAUAAUACUGAGUGUUUUGAUUCAUGAAUAUAGUAUAUAUCAAUUUAAACCUUCUUUAAUAUGUCUCAGCAUUGUUUAUAGUUUCAGAGUGAAAAUCUUUCACAUGUCUAGUUAAUUAAGUUUCAUCACUUGGAUUGCUUUUUAAAUUUUUUUUUAGUUAUUGAUGGACCUUUAUUUAUUUAUUUGUUUAUAUGUGGUGCUGAGAAUUGAACCCAGUGCCUCACACAUGCUAGGCAAACUCUCUACCACUGAGCCACAACCCCAGCCCAUAAAUUUAUUUUUCAAUAUUGGGGAUUGAUCCCAAAGCCUUGUACAUGGUAGGCAAGUGCUCUACCACUGAGCUACAACUCCAGACCCCUGUUUGGUAGUUUAAAAGAAAUAAUUUGAAAUUUUCCAUCUGUUCUUUAUUAGAAUAUUGGAAUAAUAUUUUUAAUUUUAUUUUUAUCUUUACUGGUAGAUAAUAAUUGUAUAUAUUUAUGGGAUACAAAGUGAUACUUCAGUGAAUUUUACAUUCUGGAAUAAUUGAACCAGAGUAAUUAGCACAUACAUCACUUCAAGUAUUUAUCAUUUCUUUGUAGUGAGGACAUUUAAAAUCCUCACUUAGCUAUUUUGAAAUAUACAAUAUGUUAUUAUGUACUAUAGUCACCUCACCACACAACAGCACACCCAAAUUUAAUCCUCUUAUCCACUAGAACCCAUUGACUAAUGUCUCCCUUUUCCCUAUCCACCCAACAGCCUCUGUUAACCACCAUUCUAUUUUCUGCUUCUGAGUUUGACUUUGUUAGAUUCCACAUAUAAGUGAGACCCUAUGGGAUGUGUAACUCUGCCCAACUUAUUUCACUUAACAUAAUGUCCUCUAGCUUUGUCAAUAUUGUCAAAAAUGACAGAAUUUCUCAUUUUUUAAAGGCUGAAUAAAUCCACUAUGUGUAUAUGCCAUAUAUUUUAUAGUUUUAAAAGAAUUUAUUAAACUGUUAUAGCAGGAUACAUUUUUAAAAUAAAAGUACAAAAUAUUUCUGGAAAGAAUUGUCACCAGAAAUGUUAUCAACCAGUUUAUUUUUCCUCUCAGUCCUCUGAUUUUCUUAUAACAUGCAUGUUUUUAAAACUUAAGCAAAUUCUAUUUGCAUUCCCCUUUCCACUAAUUUUACCAAACAGUCUAUCAGCUAGAAUCUUGAGCAACUGCUGACAGUAAUCUAAUUUCCUGGGUUCUAUUUCAUACUAUCCCAAGCUUCUUUUACAGUAGAAGUGAUUACUUUAUGUUAAAUUUCUAACAAAAAUAUUCUUGUUAAAUGUUAGUAAAGGGUGGCAAUUUUCGUUAAAGGCAUUUCCUAUUAACCAUGGUUAAAAUGGGACCUUAGAUAAACCUGAUUUUAGAUGAAAACUAUGAAAAAAAAACAAUUUACAAUUAGGUCUUUAUGUAAGAAAUACUCUAUGCAGCAUGAGACAAACCAUAGCUCUUACCUUUCAAUUUCCUGGCUUAACAAGAAAUAGCAAAUUUAUUUUUGGGAGGGAUGGGUACCAGGGAUUGAACUCAGGGACACUCAACCACUGAGCCAUAUCCCAACCCUAUUUUGUAUUUUAUUUAGAGACAUGGUCUCACUGAGUUGCUUAGCACCUCAUGGUUGUUGAGGCUGGAUUUGAACUCACAAUCCUCCUGCCUCAGCCUCCUGAGCCACUGGGAUUACAGGCAUGUACCUCCACACCCAGUGCAAAUUCAUUUUUAAAAGGGUAUACAUAUACAUUUUUAGUUUGAUGAUUCCAUUUGCAAUAAGAAUCAAUUCAGAUUUUAAUUACCAUGGAACUUUGACAAUUCUAGCAAUUGCAAAGCUGAAUUUUAUCAAACUAAAAGCAAAUAACAUUCUAAGAUUUCAUAUGUUUAACCUGUUAAAAAUUCAGUUAAGGGUUGUGGCUUAGUGGUAGAGUGCUCUCCUAGUACAUGCAAGGCCCUGGGUUUAAUCCUCAGCACCACAUAAAAAUAAAUAAAAUAAAGGUAUUGUGUUCAACUACAACUAAAAAAUAAUUUUUAAAAAUUUUAAUUAAAUAUUUCAAUCAAGGGCAUACUAUCUAAAACUAGUAUUGUUAUCUAGUCAUGAGUUUCUCAUUACAUUUUGCAGCCCCUAAAUGUUCAGAAUAAAUGUAACAUUCACAUAAUACUACAGUCCAUAAAAAGAGUAUGUUCUUUUCCUGGGUUUGCCAUAUUUUUUAUAUCCAUGCAAAUGUUGAUGGACAUUUUAGUUGUUUCCAUAGCUGGAUAUUGUGAACAAUGCUACAAUGAAGAUGGAAGUGCAGAUAUAUCUUUAGCAAAAUGAUUUCAUUUCUUUGGGUAUAUAUCUAAUAGUGUGAUUGCUUUAAUCCAUGGGUUGUUUAUAAGCAUGGUUUUGAUAGCAGCCAAAAACCUAAAAGGUGUGGUUUUAAUUUUCAUUUCUCUGAUGAUUAAUGAUAGUGAAGUAUUAGAGUUCCUGACUAUUAUUAUGUUGCAGUCUAUAUUCCCACCAGACUAAUAUUUGAUUUAUAUAUUUAGACACUCUUAACAUUUGAUGCAUGCUAUAGUUUGGAUAUAAAUUUUCCCCCAAAGAUUCAUGUGCUAUAUUCUUGGUCCCCAAUUUGGUAUUGUUCAAGUGGUGGAACUUUUAAGAGGUGGUGCCUAGUGGAACGUAAUUACAUCACAGGGGCACCACCCUUGGAAAGAAUCAAUACAGGUCUCAUGGAACUGGAUUACUUCCCCCCAGAGUAGGUUGUCAUAAGGAAACCUGAACUAUCCAAAUUUCUCUUCUGUAUUUGGUGAUUUUCUCUCCCAUAUGCACUCCUACUAUUGUGAUACCUUCUGUCAUGAGGUCUUCUCCAGAGCUGAGCAGAUGCCAGUGCCGAGCAGAUUCCAGUGCCAUGGAACCUCUAUAAGUGUAAGCUAAAUAAACGAUUUUUUCUUUAUAAAAUACCUAGAUUUGGGUAUUUUGCUAUAGAAACACAAAAUGGACUAAGGCAACGCAUAUAUACUUAUAAUUUUUAAAUAUUCUUGAUGAAUAUUUGACAUCUCUAUGUAAUCACCAUCUUUGUUUCCUUUAACAGUUUUGCCUUAAAUUCUAUUU
This 3531-nucleotide long non-coding RNA is filed under the name Marmota monax (woodchuck). Lineage: Eukaryota; Metazoa; Chordata; Mammalia; Rodentia; Sciuridae. The record is from RNAcentral.